GAUGAACGCUGGCGGCGUGCCUAAUACAUGCAAGUCGAGCGAACGGACGAGAAGCUUGCUUCUCUGAUGUUAGCGGCGGACGGGUGAGUAACACGUGGAUAACCUACCUAUAAGACUGGGAUAACUUCGGGAAACCGGAGCUAAUACCGGAUAAUAUUUUGAACCGCAUGGUUCAAAAGUGAAAGACGGUCUUGCUGUCACUUAUAGAUGGAUCCGCGCUGCAUUAGCUAGUUGGUAAGGUAACGGCUUACCAAGGCAACGAUGCAUAGCCGACCUGAGAGGGUGAUCGCCCACACUGGAACUGAGCCACGGUCCAGACUCCUACGGGAGGCAGCAGUAGGGAAUCUUCCGCAAUGGGCGAAAGCCUGACGGAGCAACGCCGCGUGAGUGAUGAAGGUCUUCGGAUCGUAAAACUCUGUUAUUAGGGAAGAACAUAUGUGUAAGUAACUGUGCACAUCUUGACGGUACCUAAUCAGAAAGCCACGGCUAACUACGUG
Molecule: ribosomal RNA, 497 nt
Filed under: uncultured bacterium
Lineage: Bacteria
Description: partial 16S ribosomal RNA
Rfam family: Bacterial small subunit ribosomal RNA
Source: RNAcentral